This 491-nucleotide ribosomal RNA is filed under the name uncultured bacterium. RNAcentral's name for it is "partial 16S ribosomal RNA". It matches the Rfam family "Bacterial small subunit ribosomal RNA", at positions 29 to 506 of the family's 1533-position model. The record is from RNAcentral.
AGUGAACGCUGGCGGUAGGCCUAACACAUGCAAGUCGAACGGCAGCACAGUAAGAGCUUGCUCUUACGGGUGGCGAGUGGCGGACGGGUGAGGAAUACAUCGGAAUCUACUUUUUCGUGGGGGAUAACGUAGGGAAACUUACGCUAAUACCGCAUACGACCUACGGGUGAAAGCAGGGGAUCUUCGGACCUUGCGCGAUUGAAUGAGCCGAUGUCGGAUUAGCUAGUUGGCGGGGUAAAGGCCCACCAAGGCGACGAUCCGUAGCUGGUCUGAGAGGAUGAUCAGCCACACUGGAACUGAGACACGGUCCAGACUCCUACGGGAGGCAGCAGGGGGGAAUAUUGGAAAAUGGGCGCAAGCCUGAUCCAGCCAUACCGCGUGGGUGAAGAAGGCCUUCGGGUUGUAAAGCCCUUUUGUUGGGAAAGAAAAGCAGCAGGUUAAUACCCCGCUGUUCGGACGGUACCCAAAGAAUAAGCACCGGCUAACUUCGU